This is a regulatory RNA element of Fulvivirga imtechensis AK7, 35 nucleotides long. It matches the Rfam family "DUF805b RNA". Rfam says of the family: Bacteroidetes, Chlorobi (1 example), Proteobacteria. Lineage (Flavobacteria) The record is from Rfam. Lineage: Bacteria; Pseudomonadati; Bacteroidota; Cytophagia; Cytophagales; Fulvivirgaceae.
CAGGCAGCUCCCGAAAAGCCUUAAAAGAGUAGGGG